UUGGCUUUCUCGUCAAACCCACGGAUUGCAAAUUUACCCCCAAAAUUUUCAGCACCCCAGGGAGCACCAUUAUUUAUUUAUUUGUUUUUAUGUUGGAAAUAAUCAUCAACAAAUAGCGUCAUCUAACGAUACCAAUAGGAGAAAUUUGAAUUACUAUUGAAUUUUAAUUUGAUUAUAAUUUUUUCUUUUCAAGUUUUUUACGUAUCGUUAAGUAUCGAUUUUUAUCAUUUCCAAAAGACAAGCAGACGAAUUUGUGACAUCAGAACGAAAGAUUCGACACGUGUUAAGCGGGAGCUAAUAAAUGUGCAGUUCCUAUCCGCAGUCCUACAGUGUGCAAAAAUAGACAGCGGAAAAAAUCUGCUCAUCAUGCUGAUCUGCAAAAUGCUGGCUUCAUGACUACAUAGUGUUAAAAGACUCUUCCCUUAAGGAAAUGUUUAGCUGUGGACUUUCUUUAGAUGACUCCUGUAGCGUAAAUAUUUUCCUGCUUCUUGGAACAAGAAACAUAGGAUGUCUUGAAGUCAAUGAAGUUUCAUUGGAAGGAUUGUAAAAAGAUGUUUAAGCAAGAAAAACUUAAAGCUGGAGGAUGAUACAUUUGUUUCUCGUUACUAGUUUUGUAAACAGAAGGUUAUUGAUACAGAGUCAGAGAACAAUGUGUGGAAUCUGAUAUUCUAGUCCUGGAAACCCCAGGUGGCUUUCUGCUUCAACAAGGCUAUAAAGCAAUUAUAAUUUCAGGAGGUCCUAACUCAGUGUACGCGGUUGAUGCCCCACUAUAAGACCCAGCAAUCUUUAGACUGCGGUCUUCCAGUGCUGGGAAUUUUUUAUGGCAAGCAAAUACUCAACAAGGAGUUAGGUGGAACGGUGGAGAGAAAAGAUGUUCGCGAUGGGAAAUUCGAGAUACAAGUAGAAACGGAGUGCCCAUUGUUUAAAGGCUUAGAGACUCGGCAAAUGGUAUUACUGACCCAUGGUGACAGCGUAGACAGGGUUACGUCGCAAAAUCUUCGCGUCAUAUUAUUUCCGCUAUUGCUGAUAUUACUGAGUCCAGUUCCAUGAUUAGACUGAAAACGGAUGAAAAAGUUGCAUAACUUCUUGUUCGACAACUGUGGAUUGCAAGGAGGUUUCACAUUGGAGAAACGCGACCAACAGUGUAUCGAUUACAUCCAGUGCACGGUCGGACGUGAUGAGAUCGUGCUCAUGCUGGUAAGCGGCGGAGUCGAUUCCGCGUUUGUGCUGCCCUUCUCCAUACAGCAGUUCCUCAGGGCGACGACGCGUCGCGAGUGCAGGCCAUCCAUUAUCGAUAACGGUUUCCUGCGUAUAGACGAAUCCGAGCAGGUCGUCACUAGUUUACAGCAAGUCGGGCUCAAUCUUCUGGUUAUCGAAGUAAGUUUGACUUUCCGCGAUGCCUCCACUAGCAUACAUGGUCACUUAACUUUGUCGUUGUGUCGGACUGUUGUGAUGGACAGUAAAGACUCAUCAUAACGAUUCCAAAAUUUUUCAUCAGUUGCCCCUUCACAGCCGUGUAGUAGAACCUCAAGAAGACUUCCAUAAAGAUGAAGUAAGAGCCUUAGGUUGCGAGCUGUGUCCGCUCGCAGAAUUACUGGAACAUCACCCGUUUCCUGGUCCCGGUUUGUCAAUCCGAAUAAUUUAUGCCGAAGAACCACUUUUGGAAGCUGAUUUCGAUGAGACGCAAGUGUUGAUUGGUUUGAUGGUCCAUUAUGCCAACAUAGCAGCCAAGGAACAUGCAUUGCUCAAUCGGAUUGAGAUCGCGACGUCGGAAGAAGAUCGUCUUCUUCUGGAAGAACUGUCCAGUCACAAACAGUAUGUUGCCACGCUACUGCCUAUUCGCACUGUCGGGGUUCAGGUACAGGAGGUUACAGAAAAAUGUGUCGGAUAUGGCAAACCAAGCAUAGGGAAAACCUCCACAUUUUUUUGCUAUAUAUUGUACAACAGAUUCGCAAUUUAGACGUUUUCCUAAUAAUGCCGUGAUUGUAUUAAUCAGCUCUUAUUCAAGGGAGACGAUAGAUGCCACCGUAUCUACGCCAAGGUAUCUUUUUUUUUUUUUCUCUUGUCUAGAUCUUUUAAUGGCCAGUGGCAUGUCCUUGAUGCUUGUCUUAUCGAAACACUUGUUUACAUUUGGUUUUGUUGAAAAAUGGUGUCAUUUAUGACAAAGGGUCCUUGUGAUCAUUUAUUUGUGGAUCAAAGCUCAUCAGCGGUAAAAAGUACUCAAUAUGUUUGCUGGUUCACUUUAUUUACCUUAUCACUAACAGUUCAAAAGCGUUCUAGUAAUUUACCUCGGGCUGCUGUGAAUUUGUAUUACAAGUGUGAACAAGUUACCUUUAAGCUCAUGGUAAAAGUUAAACUUAAAAUGUAUGACUCAUGGAUCAACGGUAGAGCAUCGGAAUGGUAUUCCGAAGGUUUAGGGUUCGAUUCCUGAAAGAGUCAAGUUAUAUAAUACAAUGUAAAAAUAAAUCCGUUUGGGAAAAUAA
RNAcentral lists this transfer RNA (2483 nucleotides) under Daphnia magna. RNAcentral describes it as "uncharacterized LOC123472362, transcript variant X4". The stretch from base 2369 to 2439 matches the Rfam family "tRNA". Lineage: Eukaryota; Metazoa; Arthropoda; Branchiopoda; Diplostraca; Daphniidae. The record is from RNAcentral.